This 468-nucleotide ribosomal RNA is filed under the name uncultured bacterium. RNAcentral describes it as "partial 16S ribosomal RNA". It matches the Rfam family "Bacterial small subunit ribosomal RNA", at positions 28 to 507 of the family's 1533-position model. The record is from RNAcentral.
GACGAACGCUGGCGGCGUGCUUAACACAUGCAAGUCGAACGGAAAGGCCCUGCUUUUGUGGGGUGCUCGAGUGGCGAACGGGUGAGUAACACGUGAGUAACCUGCCCUUGACUUUGGGAUAACUUCAGGAAACUGGGGCUAAUACCGGAUAGGAGCUCCUGCUGCAUGGUGGGGGUUGGAAAGUUUCGGCGGUUGGGGAUGGACUCGCGGCUUAUCAGCUUGUUGGUGGGGUAGUGGCUUACCAAGGCUUUGACGGGUAGCCGGCCUGAGAGGGUGACCGGCCACAUGGGGACUGAGAUACGGCCCAGACUCCUACGGGAGGCAGCAGUGGGGAAUAUUGCACAGUGGGCGGACGCCUGAUGCAGCAACGCCGCGUGCGGGAUGACGGCCUUCGGGUUGUAAACCGCUUUCGCCUGUGACGAAGCGUGAGUGACGGUAAUGGGUAAAGAAGCACCGGCUAACUACGUG